This 497-nucleotide ribosomal RNA is filed under the name uncultured bacterium. RNAcentral describes it as "partial 16S ribosomal RNA". It matches the Rfam family "Bacterial small subunit ribosomal RNA", at positions 28 to 507 of the family's 1533-position model. The record is from RNAcentral.
GAUGAACGCUGGCGGCGUGCCUAAUACAUGCAAGUCGAGCGAACAGACGAGGAGCUUGCUCCUCUGACGUUAGCGGCGGACGGGUGAGUAACACGUGGAUAACCUACCUAUAAGACUGGGAUAACUUCGGGAAACCGGAGCUAAUACCGGAUAAUAUAUUGAACCGCAUGGCUCAAUAGUGAAAGACGGUUUUGCUGUCACUUAUAGAUGGAUCCGCGCCGCAUUAGCUAGUUGGUAAGGUAACGGCUUACCAAGGCAACGAUGCGUAGCCGACCUGAGAGGGUGGUCGGCCACACUGGAACUGAGACACGGUCCAGACUCCUACGGGAGGCAGCAGUAGGGAAUCUUCCGCAAUGGGCGAAAGCCUGACGGAGCAACGCCGCGUGAGUGAUGAAGGUCUUCGGAUCGUAAAACUCUGUUAUUAGGGAAGAACAAAUGUGUAAGUAACUAUGCACGUUUUGACGGUACCUAAUCAGAAAGCCACGGCUAACUACGUG